Molecule: ribosomal RNA, 1215 nt
Filed under: uncultured bacterium
Lineage: Bacteria
Description: bacterial SSU rRNA
Rfam family: Bacterial small subunit ribosomal RNA
Source: RNAcentral
AGUAACACGUAUCCAACCUACCGGUUAUUCUGGGAUAGCCUUUCGAAAGAAAGAUUAAUACCGGAUAGUAUAACGAGAAGGCAUCUUUUUGUUAUUAAAGAAUUUCGAUAAUCGAUGGGGAUGCGUUCCAUUAGUUUGUUGGCGGGGUAACGGCCCACCAAGACAUCGAUGGAUAGGGGUUCUGAGAGGAAGGUCCCCCACAUUGGAACUGAGACACGGUCCAAACUCCUACGGGAGGCAGCAGUGAGGAAUAUUGGUCAAUGGACGAGAGUCUGAACCAGCCAAGUAGCGUGAAGGAUGACUGCCCUAUGGGUUGUAAACUUCUUUUAUAUGGGAAUAAAGUGAGCCACGUGUGGCUUUUUGUAUGUACCAUACGAAUAAGGAUCGGCUAACUCCGUGCCAGCAGCCGCGGUAAUACGGAGGAUCCGAGCGUUAUCCGGAUUUAUUGGGUUUAAAGGGAGCGUAGGCGGACUAUUAAGUCAGCUGUGAAAGUUUGCGGCUCAACCGUAAAAUUGCAGUUGAUACUGGUCGUCUUGAGUGCAGUAGAGGUAGGCGGAAUUCGUGGUGUAGCGGUGAAAUGCUUAGAUAUCACGAAGAACUCCGAUUGCGAAGGCAGCUUACUGGACUGUAACUGACGCUGAUGCUCGAAAGUGUGGGUAUCAAACAGGAUUAGAUACCCUGGUAGUCCACACAGUAAACGAUGAAUACUCGCUGUUUGCGAUAUACAGCAAGCGGCCAAGCGAAAGCAUUAAGUAUUCCACCUGGGGAGUACGCCGGCAACGGUGAAACUCAAAGGAAUUGACGGGGGCCCGCACAAGCGGAGGAACAUGUGGUUUAAUUCGAUGAUACGCGAGGAACCUUACCCGGGCUUAAAUUGCAUCUGAAUAAUUUGGAAACAGAUUAGCCGUAAGGCAGAUGUGAAGGUGCUGCAUGGUUGUCGUCAGCUCGUGCCGUGAGGUGUCGGCUUAAGUGCCAUAACGAGCGCAACCCUUAUCUUUAGUUACUAACAGGUCAUGCUGAGGACUCUAGAGAGACUGCCGUCGUAAGAUGUGAGGAAGGUGGGGAUGACGUCAAAUCAGCACGGCCCUUACGUCCGGGGCUACACACGUGUUACAAUGGGGGGUACAGAAGGCAGCUACACAGCGAUGUGAUGCUAAUCCCAAAAGCCUCUCUCAAGUCGGAUUGGAGUUUGCAACCUGACUCCAUGAAGCUGGA